AUCAAUAAGCGGAGGAAAAGAAACUAACAAGGAUUCCCCUAGUAACUGCGAGUGAAGCGGGAAAAGCUCAAAUUUAAAAUCUGGCGGUCUUUGGCCGUCCGAGUUGUAGUCUGGAGAAGCGUUUUCCGCGUUGGACCGUGUACAAGUCUCUUGGAACAGAGCGUCAUAGAGGGUGAGAAUCCCGUCUUUGACACGGACUACCAAUGCUUUGUGAUGCGCUCUCAAAGAGUCGCGUUGUUUGGGAAUGCAGCGCAAAAUGGGAGGUGAAUUCCUUCUAAAGCUAAAUAUUGGCGAGAGACCGAUAGCGAACAAGUACCGUGAGGGAAAGAUGAAAAGCACUUUGGAAAGAGAGUUAAACAGUACGUGAAAUUGCUGAAAGGGAAACGCUUGAAGUCAGUCGCGUCGUCCGGAACUCAGCCUUGCUUCGGCUUGGUGCACUUUCCGGAUGACGGGCCAGCAUCGAUUUUGACCGCUGGAAAAGGGCUGGAGGAAUGUGGCACCUUCGGGUGUGUUAUAGCCUUCAGUCGCAUACAGCGGUUGGGAUCGAGGAACGCAGCACGCCUUAUGGCUGGGGUUCGCCCACAUUCGUGCUUAGGAUGCUGGCAUAAUGGCUUUAAACGACCCGUCUUGAAACACGGACCAAGGAGU
Molecule: ribosomal RNA, 648 nt
Filed under: Trametes hirsuta
Lineage: Eukaryota; Fungi; Basidiomycota; Agaricomycetes; Polyporales; Polyporaceae
Description: eukaryotic LSU rRNA
Rfam family: Eukaryotic large subunit ribosomal RNA
Source: RNAcentral